GAUGAACGCUGGCGGCGUGCCUAAUACAUGCAAGUCGAGCGAACAGACGAGGAGGUUGCACCUCUGACGUUAGCGGCGGACGGGAGAGUAACACGUGGAUAACCUACCUAUAAGACUGGGAUAACUUCGGGAAACCGGAGCUAAUACCGGAUAAUAUAUUGAACCGCAGGGUUCAAUAGUGAAAGACGGUUUUGAUGUCACUUAUAGAUGGAUCCGCGCCGCAUUAGCUAGUUGGUAAGGUAACGGCUUACCAAGGCAACGAUGCGUAGCCGACCUGAGAGGGUGAUCGGCCACACUAGAACUGAGACACGGUCCAGACUCCUACGGGAGGCAGCAGUAGGGAAUCUUCCGCAAUGGGCGGAAUCCUGACGGAGCCACGCCGCGUGAGUGAUGAAGGUCUUCGGAUCGUAAAUCUCUGUUAUUAGGGAAUAACAAUUGUGUAAGUCACUAUGCACUUCUUGACGGUACCUUAUCAGAAAGCCACGGCUAACUACGUG
This 497-nucleotide ribosomal RNA is filed under the name uncultured bacterium. Its description in RNAcentral is "partial 16S ribosomal RNA". It matches the Rfam family "Bacterial small subunit ribosomal RNA", at positions 28 to 507 of the family's 1533-position model. The record is from RNAcentral.